Molecule: non-coding RNA, 28 nt
Filed under: Homo sapiens (human)
Lineage: Eukaryota; Metazoa; Chordata; Mammalia; Primates; Hominidae
Source: RNAcentral
UCCGCAGUAUACACGUACAUCCAAAGCC